RNAcentral lists this long non-coding RNA (434 nucleotides) under Rattus norvegicus (Norway rat). RNAcentral describes it as "long non-coding RNA NONRATT016218". The record is from RNAcentral. Lineage: Eukaryota; Metazoa; Chordata; Mammalia; Rodentia; Muridae.
CUCUUCCCGAGAUGGGACCCCCAAACACACCCCCGGGGGCUCUCUCCACACCCCAAGAGUCCUAUCUGUGCCUCCCGAGUGCAAGUUCACCCAAGUGGUGAGUUUUUACGGACUCCCUUCCUCGCUUGAAAGAGACCUUCUUUGGCUACCCGCCCCCUGUCCGGUGGCUCCGACGUGGCUACUUUGCAGGAUGGGCUGUAUAAAGGGCUAGAGGCAGAUCUACCCAAACCAGAGACGUGGCGUCUGCUAGACCGGCCUAGGCUCCAGUACCUGACUAAAGCCCAGAGAAGGGAGCAAGAAGGAGCUGAAGAAAGUGUGGCCCCCAGGAGCCAUGAAGACCACGGUUCGCUUUCCUGGGAAGGUUCCCUAACCCUGGACUAUAAGAUGUAGCAAGACUUAUAUUCAGUGAUUAAAAAAUGAAAGAAAGAAAAGAA